RNA transcript from Rhinopithecus roxellana (golden snub-nosed monkey), 725 nucleotides. It is a transcript of the gene named single-stranded DNA-binding protein, mitochondrial pseudogene, with no coding region annotated. NCBI's taxonomy places the organism in Eukaryota, Metazoa, Chordata, Mammalia, Primates, Cercopithecidae. The record is from RefSeq and is a predicted model, not a curated record. The transcript has a single exon.
GAAGUGAUCCCCUGGUUGGCUCGGCUGCUCGAGUUAGAGCGUCGGGUGAGGAAGGGAUAGCAAGCACUAAGCAAGUGCUGGAGUCCUAUGUUUUGACUGAGCAUGAUCCUGCGUGGGUCGGCAAGUGUUUCUGAAGAGCCUAAAGAUUAGACUGUAAGGAAAGAAAAUAGAAGCCAUGUUUCGAAGACCUGUAUUACAGGUACUUCGUCAGUUUGUAAGACAUGAGUCCGAAACAACUACCAGUUUGGUUCUUGAAAGAUCCAUGAAUCCUGUGCAGUUACUUGGGCGAGUGGGUCAGGACCCUGUCUUGAGACUAGUGGAAGGAAAAAUUCCAGUCACAAUAUUUUCUCUAGCAACUAAUGAGAUGUGGCGAUCAGGGGACAGUGAAGUUUACCAAAUGGGUGAUGUCAGUCAAAAGACAACAUGGCACAGAAUAUCGGUAUUCCGGCCAGGCCUCAGAGACGUGGCAUAUCAGUAUGUGAAAAAGGGUUCUCGAAUUUAUUUGGAAGGGAAAAUAGACUAUGGUGAAUACAUGGAUAAAAAUAAUGUGAGGCGACAAGCAACAACUAUCAUAGCUGAUAAUAUUAUAUUUCUGAGUGACCAGACGAAAGAGAAGGAGUAGAAAGGAUGAUUCUUCUUUGGCCAUCAUUGGGUACAGUCUCAUUUCCAAGUCAUGUGUAUAAUCUUUAUCGCUCCCAAGGACAAGAAUUAAAAUACUCUUUUAC